UGCUGUAACAACAAGGUUCAGAUGAAAGC
This 29-nucleotide non-coding RNA is filed under the name Mus musculus (house mouse). Lineage: Eukaryota; Metazoa; Chordata; Mammalia; Rodentia; Muridae. The record is from RNAcentral.